This 468-nucleotide ribosomal RNA is filed under the name uncultured bacterium. RNAcentral's name for it is "partial 16S ribosomal RNA". It matches the Rfam family "Bacterial small subunit ribosomal RNA", at positions 28 to 507 of the family's 1533-position model. The record is from RNAcentral.
GACGAACGCUGGCGGCGUGCUUAACACAUGCCAGUCGAACGGAAAGGCCCUGCUUUUGUGGGGUGCUCGAGUGGCGAACGGGUGAGUAACAAGUGAGUAACCUGCCCUUGACUUUGGGAUAACUUCAGGAAACUGGGGCUAAUAACGGAUAGGAGCUCCUGCUGCAUGGUGGGGGUUGGAAAGUUUCGGCGGUUGGGGAUGGACUCGCGGCUUAUCAGCUUGUUGGUGGGGUAGUGGCUUACCCAGGCAUUGACGGGUAGCCGGCCUGAGAGGGUGACCGGCCACAUUGGGACUGAGAUACGGCCCAGACUCCUACGGGAGGCAGCAGUGGGGAAUAUUGCACAAUGGGCGGAAGCCUGAUGCAGCAACGCCGCGUGCGGGAUGACGGCCUUCGGGGUGUAAACCGCUUUCGCCUGUGACGAAGCGUGAGUGACGGUAAUGGGUAAAGAAGCACCGGCUAACUACGUG